CUCAGUAACACGUAGGUACCAACCCAUAUCUCUGAAAUAACUCCAAGAAAUUGGAAUUAAUGUCAGAUGUGAAGGAAACUUCAAAGAUUUAUCGGAUAUGGACGGGCCUGCGGCCUAUCAGUUAGUUGGUGGGGUAAUGGCCUACCAAGACUACGACGGGUACCGGGACUGAGAGGUUGAUCCGGCAGAGGGGCACUGAGACACGGGCCUCACUCCUACGGGAGGCAGCAGUAAGGAAUAUUGCGCAAUGGACGAAAGUCUGACGCAGCAACGCCGCGUGAAGGAUGAAGGUUUUCGGAUUGUAAACUUUGUUAUAAGCACCGGCUAACU
This 330-nucleotide ribosomal RNA is filed under the name uncultured prokaryote. Its description in RNAcentral is "bacterial SSU rRNA". It matches the Rfam family "Bacterial small subunit ribosomal RNA", at positions 106 to 502 of the family's 1533-position model. The record is from RNAcentral.